This 253-nucleotide ribosomal RNA is filed under the name uncultured bacterium. RNAcentral describes it as "partial 16S ribosomal RNA". It matches the Rfam family "Bacterial small subunit ribosomal RNA", at positions 524 to 776 of the family's 1533-position model. The record is from RNAcentral.
UACGGAGGGUGCAAGCGUUAUCCGGAUUCACUGGGUUUAAAGGGUGCGUAGGAGGGCAGGUAAGUCAGUGGUGAAAUCUUUGGGCUUAACCCGAAAACUGCCAUUGAUACUAUCUGUCUUGAAUGCGGUGGAGGUGAGCGGAAUAUGUCAUGUAGCGGUGAAAUGCUUAGAUAUGACAUAGAACACCGAUUGCGAAGGCAGCUCGCUACACCUGCAUUGACUCUGAGGCACGAAAGCGUGGGGAUCAAACAGG